This 253-nucleotide ribosomal RNA is filed under the name uncultured bacterium. RNAcentral's name for it is "partial 16S ribosomal RNA". It matches the Rfam family "Bacterial small subunit ribosomal RNA", at positions 524 to 776 of the family's 1533-position model. The record is from RNAcentral.
GCCGUAGGGCGCGAGCGUUGUCCGGAUUUAUUGGGCGUAAAGAGCUCGUAGGCGGUUUGUCGCGUCGGAUGUGAAGUUUUAGGGCUCAACCCUGACAUUGCAUCCGAUACGGGCAGGCUAGAGUUCGGUAGGGGAGACUGGAAUUCCUGGUGUAGCGGUGAAAUGCGCAGAUAUCAGGAGGAACACCGGUGGCGAAGGCGGGUCUCUGGGCCGAUACUGACGCUGAGGAGCGAAAGCGUGGGGAGCGAACAGG